UCCAAGCAAAAAAACUGGGGACAGAAUUACAUGAUAAGAUCUACAGGCCACCAAGCAAAAUGUUUUAACUGUUUAUCAUGAUGCACUUGUACAGCACCGUGCUUGAAGGAGGCUUACAACACAAAGUAUUAGUCUUGAGAGACGGAGAACAACAUACAACAUGUCACGUCAAAGUUUACAGGUCACAGAGAUCUCCAUCCAAAACUGAGCCGAUCUCAUUGCAGGUUUCGAUAUGCUAGCAUAGGGCGGAGGGGCGUGCUAUGAUGGCUAUGACUACGAGAAGGUGUCCUCCCUGUCCCCCUCGGCGACCUCACCCUCCUCAAUGUUGCUGAACUCCAGGAAGUGCGUC
Molecule: long non-coding RNA, 349 nt
Filed under: Triticum aestivum (bread wheat)
Lineage: Eukaryota; Viridiplantae; Streptophyta; Magnoliopsida; Poales; Poaceae
Description: long non-coding RNA (TAES_LNC015679)
Source: RNAcentral